CCGGACCCUUGAAGAAUGUCAAGCAGGGCCUGUGACUCAAGAGAAAAUGUUCAAAAUGAGGAGUAUCUUCUUAUCAUUCUGUAAGAGUUUGGGAAAGAGUUAACAGGUUUACUACAGAUUCUGAAAGGAAAUAAAAAUGGAAUCUGAGAGCUCUUCAGUAUACCGAGGUAGUCUAUGGUUGCCAUAGAGAAUGCCUGUAACUGUCAACCUUGCACAAAGCUCCUAGGGCGUUAGCUGUAUAAUCAGACUGAAAAACAGAAAAACAACACGAUAUUUGAUUGGACCAGAUACAAGAAAACACACAAAGGAAUCAUUGAGGUUUACUGGUUUUUUUUUUUUUGGAAAUUGUCUUAUUUUAAUUUCUACCCUUUCUCAAAUACG
Molecule: long non-coding RNA, 381 nt
Filed under: Homo sapiens (human)
Lineage: Eukaryota; Metazoa; Chordata; Mammalia; Primates; Hominidae
Description: HSALNT0271914
Source: RNAcentral